This 801-nucleotide long non-coding RNA is filed under the name Capsella rubella. Its description in RNAcentral is "long non-coding RNA (CRUB_LNC001877)". The record is from RNAcentral. Lineage: Eukaryota; Viridiplantae; Streptophyta; Magnoliopsida; Brassicales; Brassicaceae.
GAGAAAGUGUUGACUGUGAAUUAGUAAUCAUUGGCAACAACAAUUCUUUCGGUCGUGGAGGUGAAGGCGGAUUCAGGUGGGUUUGGUCACAAAAUCACUAAUAUAAGAUGGAAUUAAACAACCCAAAAGUAUAUAUCUACGAGAUCUAUGCAUUCUAAUUGAACCAUAUAUAUAUAAUUAAACUCUUUCACAUCCGUUAGAAAGUAAGAAUAGUUGUCAAAAUAAAUGACCAUAUAGUUUAACAUAGAACCGUCAUGAUCGUAUCUCAAACCCUUUCACAUCCGUCACGGCCGUCAGUAGAGUUAGCAACGGUGCUACGUCGACUAUAAGCUAUUCGUGGAUCGCAACUUGGAUCUUAAUAUAUAUAUAAAGAUAGUUUUUUUUUAAAGAAACAACUGCAGGAUCGAUCGAACAUACGUAGAACUAUUAUAAAAAACAAUCGGAAUCUAACACCACCGGAAAAAUAAAGAAGAAGUUUGAAAGAGAAAAUAAAAAAGAAGUGAAAACGAAGAAGAAAGGCGUAGCCUUCCCUUUGCCUCUGAUGACUUGCCGUUUUUGUAUCCUUCAGGAGAAAGAUAACGGAACCGAGCUACCUAGUUAACCGUAGUAGCUCCAAACCUUGUUAGUACGCCGCCGCCGCCGCCGUCUUUAUCCGUCUCAUCCUCCAUAUCUUUCUUCUCCUUUGCUUAGAGAUUAAUUGACUUCAACAAGGAGGUGAGUUGAUUAAAACCGUUUUGGUUAGUGUUUCUUUUUUACGUCUAAUGCUUCAUCCCAUUUAUAAUGCUUCAUCUGGUCCCAUAU